UGGGGAAUUUUGGGCAAUGGGCGAAAGCCUGACCCAGCAACGCCGCGUGAAGGAUGAAGUAUUUCGGUAUGUAAACUUCGAAAGAAUAGGAAGAAUAAAUGACGGUACUAUUUAUAAGGUCCGGCUAACUACGUGCCAGCAGCCGCGGUAAUACGUAGGGACCAAGCGUUGUUCGGAUUUACUGGGCGUAAAGGGCGCGUAGGCGGCAAUUCAAGUCAUCUGUGAAAUCUCCGGGCUUAACUCGGAACGGUCAGAUGAUACUGCUUUGCUAGAGUGCAGAAGGGGCAAUCGGAAUUCUUGGUGUAGCGGUGAAGUGCGUAGAUAUCAAGAGGAACACCUGAGGUGAAGACGGGUUGCUGGGCUGACACUGACGCUGAGGCGCGAAAGCCAGGGGAGCAAACGGGAUUAGAUACCCGCGUAGUCCCUGAGCGGGCUGGCAAGGCGCAU
Molecule: ribosomal RNA, 447 nt
Filed under: uncultured bacterium
Lineage: Bacteria
Description: bacterial SSU rRNA
Rfam family: Bacterial small subunit ribosomal RNA
Source: RNAcentral